RNAcentral lists this long non-coding RNA (3630 nucleotides) under Vigna radiata. RNAcentral describes it as "long non-coding RNA (VRAD_LNC018365)". The record is from RNAcentral. Lineage: Eukaryota; Viridiplantae; Streptophyta; Magnoliopsida; Fabales; Fabaceae.
GUACACCCUUUCUACACCUAUUGUGCAGCCUUUGUAUAACCUUCGUACAUCAUUUGUACACCUUUUACACACCCUUUGUACAUCAUUGGUACAAAGUUUGUACAUCAUUUCUACACUCUUUGUGUAAACCCUUUGUACACCUUUUCUAUAUCUAUUUACAUCAUUGUACUCUCUUUGUACAUGUUGUGUAAACCUUUUAUAACCAUUUAGAUACCCUUUGUACACCCCUAGUAAACCUUUUGUACACCGUUUGUCCAUAUUUUAUGUACCCUUUGUAUUCACUUUGUACACCCUUCGUCCACCCUUUCUAUACCUUUUAUAUACCUGUUGUACACCCUCGGUACUACCUUUGUAACACUUUUCUACUCCAUUUGUACACCUUUUAUAAACCCUUUGUAAACCCAUUCUACAUCAUUUUUAAACCCUCUGUACACACUUUCAACACCCCUUAUACAAUCUUUGUACACCCUUUGUAUACCCUUUGUACUAAUUUUGUACACCUAUAAUACACCUAUUGUACACCCUUUGUAAACCAUUGGUAGACCCUUUCUAAAUAUUUCUAUAUAUUUUUACACCGUUCGUACACCAUUUCGACACGCUUUCUAUACUAUUUAUACACCCUUUAUACAUCAUUUCUACACCCUUUGUACAUCCAUUGUAGACCCUUUCUAUAUCUAUGUACGUUUUGGUACACCUUAUGUACACCGUUUGUACACCCACUAUACACCUUUUAUACACCCUUUAUACACCCUUUCUACAUCAUUUCUACACCAUUUAUACACCCAUUGUACACGUUUUUUAUAUAUAUCUAAAUUUCGGAACACCUUAUGUACACCCUUUGUGCACCCUUUGUCCAUGCUUUGUACACCCUUUAUUCACCUUUAUACACACUUUCUACACCCACUGUGCAGCCUUUGUGUAAGACCCAAGUAAAUUCAAGAUUUACCAAGUAGUGUCAAAAUCCAAGUUAUAUUGUAAAAUAGAAUGCUGUCAGGUUUGACAUGGUUUAGGAUUUUAAUUAUAACUUUUUAUACAAUUGUGAUAUUGAGUUGAUUCUUGUUGCAUUGGAAAAUAGACUCAAAUAUCUUUCUUUGGACACCAAACUCGCAAUUUUUGGACAACGGGAAUAGCUGCAGUAAAAAUUGUAAAAUCGUAAUUGUGAUCACGUUCUGGUGUUUUUCAGCUUUGACCUUUGCUGACUAUUUUUCUUAUUACUAUUUCUAUAGAACUCCAAAUGAGUUGAUUCUUUUUUUAUUGAAAACUAGACUCAAAGAGCUUUGAUUUGACUACUCAUACACAUAUUUUUGACUUCGGGAAGGAAUUUAACCGAACUGGGCAAAAUGUGACAGUUUUACUGUCCAGGAACUAGAGUGCAACGUGAAUGGUAAGUGAAAUUUCACAAGUUACAACUUAUGGAGUAGGUAGGAUGCUUUCUGCACAUGGAGAAUAUUUUGGGACCCUUUGGAGACAUUCUUUCCAGAUUUUGGGGUUGGAAAAGAGAUUAGGAUGGUCCAUUUCUAGUGUAUUAUGACUAAGUGUCAUGUGCAUGGGUCCUUAGUUGUCUAAGGGCAUCUUCUUUUAAUUCCAAAUCAGAUCUAGAAUUUUGGGGCAGAGUAGAGAGGUCCUUGGUGAGUGGUGAACGAAAAUUCUAAGUGUGCUAAGUGUUGAGGCUGACUUGGUUUAGCAAGGGAGGGAGGAGUUACUCUCUUUGAAGAAGAAUUUAAGGUGUACAAGUCUUCAAGAGGUAAGGGGAGCUAACUCAAACUUUGGUUUUAGAAUUUCAUGGAUGUGGGUAUGAUUUCAGUUGCUUGAAUCUUGGAUAUGAUGGGCUGAAUGGAGAUUUAUUUGGUUAAAUGUUUGGUAUGAUUUAAAGGAGAUGAUACAAAUGGAAUUUUUUUACCAUAUCUUUGGUCUAUGGAUUUUGUAUGAACUUUAUGAUGAAAAAUUGAUGGAUAUAUGUUGGAUUGAAGGUGGAUUUUCUUUCUAACAUGUUGAUAUACAAGUAUAUGAAGUUUUUAAUGUAUUAAGUGGUGAAUUGGGAUGAGAAACAUGAGACUUAUGCCUCACUUUUUAUCAAAUACGAAAAUGGUCAAAUUUGAAUGGUUGAUAAAUUUUGGAUGGAUGGGUUGAUUUGUUGUAUGGAGAUAUUUAGCAAGAUGAAAGUAUGAUGAGUAAAUCAUCAAAAUUUUGAUAUUUCAAAGUUUAUGAGAUGGAAAAUGGUAGAUCUAAAGGAGUGUCUUGUUGAGUAAAAAUUGAUGAUGAACUUUGAGAAAUUUACUUAAAUAUUGAAAAAUUUCAAAUCUAUUUUUGAUUAUGGAUGAAUGAAUAUGAAUGUUGUAGUGAGAUCUUUGGGCUAAGAAUAAUCUUCACUAGGAUGAAAAUUUUGAGCAUGUGUUAAUGGAAAGGAGAUGUAUUAUAAUUUGGAUUGAACAUUGAAUUUUCAUAUGGAUGUUAUGGUAUAAGUUGUUAGGAGAUUUUAAAUUGUCUAAAACCUUGAAAAUCAUGGAAAACAUAGGGGUUUUCUCUUAGAUAUUUUUGGUGUACGAAAAUUUCAUAUGUUGAAGGGUAAUGAGCUAAGAUUCAUGAUAUGUAUGAGGGGUUAGAUGUGUUCUCUAUAUUUUAGAUGAAAUUAAUAGUAGAAAUUCUCUUGAAAUAUGGGUUGAAUUGGUGAAAAUGGAAUAUGAUUAUAUAUAAUAUUUUUGUUGUUGUUAGAAAGAUUAUUUUUAUGACAAUCCAUGAAGUUUUCAGAUUUGUUACACAUAAAUAAAUCUUGUUGUUUAGUGCUGUAAAAAUACUGUUACUGUAUUAAAAAUUUCUUGCUGUUACUGUAUUUAAAUUGUUUGCUGUUUGUGCUGUAAAAANAAAUUUCUUGCUGUUACUGUAUUUAAAUUGUUUGCUGUUUGUGCUGUAAAAAUACUGUUACUGUAUUGAAAUUUGUUGCUGUUACUGUAUUUAAAUUGCUUGCUGUUUGGUGCUGUUUGGGUGCUGUUACAGUAUUUAAAUUGCUUGCUGUUUGGUUUUAAAAUAUGUUAAUUUAAAUAUAUCUUAUAUUUUGAUAAAUGGAUGGUGUGUGUGAGUUAUUUUGGGAUUUGAUGUAACAUAAUUUGGGGUUGUUUGAAUGUUUAAAAAUCUCGGUUGAAAGGUUAUUAUUAUGUGAUAAAUUAUUGGUGAAUAUGUGUAAUUUUGAUUGGAUUGGUCUUGUUAUAUGAGUGGUGGAUAGUAAGCGUUGCGGUUGUUGGGCCGGAGAAGCUCUGGAAGAGUGAUGGUAAGCAACCCUACACACGGGUGAUGUGUGUAACCGCCCGGGGAAUCUCUUGCAUUGAUGCAAGAGUGAUGGGGGUGACGUGGGAUACUAGUCCGGUGAAUCUCGUAUAAAUUAAUAACUGCCCGGGGAAGCUCUAAUAAGAGUGAUGGGAGUUCACGCUAUGCAUAUUGGUGUAUGCAUUCUAAUUUGGUGUUUGAUGCAUAUUGGUGUAUGCAUUUUGAUAUGUUGUUUGAUGCAUAUUGGUGUAUGCAUUCUGAAUUGGUGUUUGAUACAUAUUGGUGUAUGUUUAUCGUAAUGAUUGUUGGCUCACCCUUGCUUGUGUGUGCAUGUGAAUGCGAUGAUCGUAUAAUGCGUGAUGUUAUACG